CUCCUCUAAGCGCCGCUACUGUAUCCUGAAGGUCGACAACGGAAGACUGUAGUAUUCCAACAUCAUGGGAUAGAUCGUCAACCCUCCCUGUCAACUCUCGUCCCAUAUCGUCGACCCUCCCUGUCAUAUAGUCAACCUUCCCUGCCAGAUCGUCGACCCUCCCUGUCAACUCUCGUCCCAGAUCAUCGNUUUUUUUUACUUUGGAGGUGGAUAAUUUCUUGGUAGGAUCCUCCAAAAAACUGCAUAAACCCAUUGGGAAUUUUCAUGAAUGCAUAAGCUCCUUAGAGUGUGUUGAAGAAGAUGAGUAACAGCUAAAGAAUUCAGCUGCUCUUCCAUUAUUCUUUAGCCCUUUUUUCCUUCACAGUGAAUUGAUUUUAGUCCCUGUGAUGAUCCCUAUAUUCCUAACAAGUAAAACCCCAACAUCUCUUUACUCCCGUUUAUAGUAUGACCAAUCUCUCUCUCUCUCUCUCACAGAGUAAGUUUGGCAAUCAUUAUUUGAACAAAACAAAAUUUUGAAUAGUGAUUUUUAAGAGAAUGUUAAAAAGCAGGGAAAUAUUUUGAGUUUAUAUGCAGAAUAUUUUAUUGUGUGAAUAUGUGAUGAAAAAUAAGUAUGGAGAGAAAAAAAAUUUCAAAUAAUUAUUGUCAAAUAGGAGCUAAAAUUAUCCCAAAAGAUUAUCGUUUGAAAGCUAAUCUUGAAAUUCGUGAGCUUUUGAUCAGAUUGAAGAACUCAUUUGAAUUCAAUGAAAGCUUGUACUACAUUAAAGUCUG
This 768-nucleotide long non-coding RNA is filed under the name Olea europaea subsp. europaea. Lineage: Eukaryota; Viridiplantae; Streptophyta; Magnoliopsida; Lamiales; Oleaceae. The record is from RNAcentral.